Molecule: ribosomal RNA, 465 nt
Filed under: uncultured Klebsiella sp.
Lineage: Bacteria; Pseudomonadati; Pseudomonadota; Gammaproteobacteria; Enterobacterales; Enterobacteriaceae
Description: bacterial SSU rRNA
Rfam family: Bacterial small subunit ribosomal RNA
Source: RNAcentral
ACUACGGGCGGCAGCAGUGGGGAAUAUUGCACAAUGGGCGCAAGCCUGAUGCAGCCAUGCCGCGUGUGUGAAGAAGGCCUUCGGGUUGUAAAGCACUUUCAGCGGGGAGGAAGGCGUUAAGGUUAAUAACCUUGGCGAUUGACGUUACCCGCAGAAGAAGCACCGGCUGACUCCGUGCCAGCAGCCGCGGUAAUACGGAGGGUGCAAGCGUUAAUCGGAAUUACUGGGCGUAAAGCGCACGCAGGCGGUCUGUCAAGUCGGAUGUGAAAUCCCCGGGCUCAACCUGGGAACUGCAUUCGAAACUGGCAGGCUAGAGUCUUGUAGAGGGGGGUAGAAUUCCAGGUGUAGCGGUGAAAUGCGUAGAGAUCUGGAGGAAUACCGGUGGCGAAGGCGGCCCCCUGGACAAAGACUGACGCUCAGGUGCGAAAGCGUGGGGAGCAAACAGGAUUAGAUACCCUAGUAGUC